Non-coding RNA from Yarrowia sp. E02, 76 nucleotides. The record is from the annotation of a GenBank genome assembly. NCBI's taxonomy places the organism in Eukaryota, Fungi, Ascomycota, Dipodascomycetes, Dipodascales.
UCCGAUAUAGUGUAGGGGCUAUCACAUCACGCUCUCAUUAACCGUGGAGACCGGGGUUCGAUUCCCCGUAUCGGAG